This 292-nucleotide ribosomal RNA is filed under the name uncultured bacterium. Its description in RNAcentral is "partial 16S ribosomal RNA". RNAcentral also lists the same sequence under 1 other name. The record is from RNAcentral.
GGACUACUGGGGUAUCUAAUCCUGUUUGCUCCCCACGCUUUCGUGCCUGAGCGUCAGUGUCGACCCAGGGGGCUGCCUUCGCCAUCGGUGUUCCUCCGCAUCUCUACGCAUUUCACUGCUACACGCGGAAUUCCACCCCCCUCUGCCGCACUCAAGCCCGCCAGUUUCCAAUGCCAUUCCCAGGUUAAGCCCGGGGCUUUCACAUCGGACACAGCGAACCGCCUGCGCACGCUUUACGCCCAGUAAUUCCGAUUAACGCUCGCACCCUACGUAUUACCGCGGCUGCUGGCAC